Long non-coding RNA from Homo sapiens (human), 737 nucleotides. Ensembl annotates it as long intergenic non-protein coding RNA, regulator of reprogramming. Its record names the gene LINC-ROR. Lineage: Eukaryota; Metazoa; Chordata; Mammalia; Primates; Hominidae. The record is from Ensembl.
GACCCCACUGGAAAUCGGACUGUCCAACUCACCUGACAGCCACUCCCACAGCCGCUGGAACUCUGGCCCAAGGCUCUCUGACUCCUUCCCAGAUCUUCUUGGCUUAGCGGCUGAAGACUGACGCUGCCCGAUCGCCUCGGAAGCCCCCUAGACCAUCACGGACGCCGAGCUUCGGGUAACUCUCACAGUGGAAGUGUGAAUCUUCACAACGGAAUCUUCACAACAUCUCUGCAAGGUGGAUAAUUAUUAGCUCGAUUUCAUAGUGGGAAAAUCAAGGCUCAGAUGAACCUUCCUCAAGUCCUGGUAAACAAGGAGCGGAGGCAGGGCUUAAACCCGGCUGCUGUGGCUCCAAAUCCUCACCUUUUGCUCCCACUCUGGUGCCUCUCACCCUGCUAGCUAAAGACAGUUCCACCAGAUGACCCAGGAGAGCAGGCGCUGGGACAAGGAAGCAGCUGUGACCUGGCCCAAAGGCAGUGCUUUUCUUUGCAUAGCAUUUUUUAAAUUUAAAAAGCACAGUGCAUACCAGUUGAUGCCCCAGCCCUCCCUCCCAGAAGAAAACAGAUUCGGUUUACCUGAGACUCAACUUCAAUCCCUUGGACAGAAGAGUGCUAUGCUAGGUGCCAGAAACACAACUACAGAUUUCUACCUGGUGCAUGGCCAUCGCUCAUGAAGACUACAACUUCCAGCUUCCUUUGAAGAAAAAGAGGACUUGAUGGCAUUGUCGCUAAGUAAGAAAU